This is a long non-coding RNA of Notolabrus celidotus (New Zealand spotty), 807 nucleotides long. RefSeq lists it as uncharacterized. NCBI's taxonomy places the organism in Eukaryota, Metazoa, Chordata, Actinopteri, Labriformes, Labridae. The transcript is spliced from 2 exons. The record is from RefSeq and is a predicted model, not a curated record.
GAAAAACCUCAUCAGCCUGAACAAGUGAAAAAAGGAUUGUAAAAUAACCUCUAACAUGCUGUAGUGUGAUGACAGCACACAAACUGCAUCCUUUAUUUUCUUGAUGACAGAAAGCAGUCGUCAGCUGUUCUUAACAGCUCUGAGCACCUCACUUUCCUGAAAUGCAACGCCAGCCUGCCUGUCUCUGUGUUUAUUGAUCAGUGCCUAAAAAAGCUCUGCUAGUUCAAUAGGUCUGCAGUCCUGCAGCUGCUUCAAAGUAUGUUCAAGAGAGUCAUAAUUUCUGUAAUGUCAACAAAUCCCUCCUCUUAAGUUUAUUGAUCUCAGCUUAAGACAGAGCAGACCUGUUGUCUAUCUAGUACUGGAUCAAUAGUAGCUGACAUGUGCAAGGUCAAAAACUGAACCCAAACAGUAAGUGAAGACUUUCUCCCACGAACAUGUUCUAAACCAACACGCUGUCUCAUCCUAAUGUUACUAACACAGCAGCUGGGUCACUGCACGGCCCUGAGAUCCAAAACCUGACGUGUGUGAAACAGCAGGACUCUGCAGCAGGAAGCCAUGAAGAUAUGACAUUAGAUCCUGAACCCCACUAAAUCUAUACAACACAGAUAUUAUCAAAGAGACUUUUGCUGACAACCUUCAAUCUGCACCAUUGUGUAACUGUGUGAGUUAUGUUCUCUCUUAGUUUGAAAGCACAUUUUCACUGAGCAUGCUUUCUGUAUUUCUCCUUUCUUUUCUUUUUAGUAUCCUUAUUUGGCUUUCUUAGAAAGGGAGACUCUGCAUUUUUUGCAGAUAAAGAGUUGAAAAUCA